AGUGAACGCUGGCGGUAGGCCUAACACAUGCAAGUCGAACGGCAGCACAGGAGAGCUUGCUCUCUGGGUGGCGAGUGGCGGACGGGUGAGGAAUACAUCGGAAUCUGCCCAGUCGUGGGGGAUAACGUAGGGAAACUUACGCUAAUACCGCAUACGACCUUCGGGUGAAAGAGGGGGAUCGCAAGACCUCUCGCGAUUGGAUGAGCCGAUGUCGGAUUAGCUAGUUGGCGGGGUAAUGGCCCACCAAGGCGACGAUCCGUAGCUGGUCUGAGAGGAUGAUCAGCCACACUGGAACUGAGACACGGUCCAGACUCCUACGGGAGGCAGCAGUGGGGAAUAUUGGACAAUGGGCGCAAGCCUGAUCCAGCCAUACCGCGUGGGUGCAGAAGGCCUUCGGGUUGUAAAGCCCUUUUGUUGGGAAAGAAAUCUUUCAGGCUAAUACCCUGGGAGGAUGACGGUACCCAAAGAAUAAGCACCGGCUAACUUCGUG
This 490-nucleotide ribosomal RNA is filed under the name uncultured bacterium. Its description in RNAcentral is "partial 16S ribosomal RNA". It matches the Rfam family "Bacterial small subunit ribosomal RNA", at positions 29 to 507 of the family's 1533-position model. The record is from RNAcentral.